UAAUUUCCAAACCCCCAUUGACCUCACAUGAUCUCAUCUCUCUUCUCUGUCAACCUAACCCUAAUCAUUCUUCGACCGCCGCCUCCUUCUCUCGUCAUCUCCAGCAACCACCUUUAAAUCCUUAUGCUUUUAAUGGGUCUUCCAUCGCAUUGCUCAUCAUCUCUGAGGCCUUCAAAGGUCCUGGGCCAUGCUGAUAGGGAUCUAGGGUUCCUGUUUUUAUCGUUCAUGGCUAUUCCGGUGUGAUUUUGGACAAAAUCAUACCACAUAUGUUAUGAUCUAUGAAGUUUACGACAA
This 294-nucleotide long non-coding RNA is filed under the name Nicotiana benthamiana. RNAcentral describes it as "long non-coding RNA (NBEN_LNC036549)". The record is from RNAcentral. Lineage: Eukaryota; Viridiplantae; Streptophyta; Magnoliopsida; Solanales; Solanaceae.